This 165-nucleotide ribosomal RNA is filed under the name uncultured bacterium. RNAcentral describes it as "partial 16S ribosomal RNA". It matches the Rfam family "Bacterial small subunit ribosomal RNA", at positions 1336 to 1500 of the family's 1533-position model. The record is from RNAcentral.
UAGUAAUGGCAGGUCAGCAUACUGCCGUGAAUACGUUCCCGGGCCGUUGUACACACCGCCCGUCACACCAUGAGAGUUGGGAAUACCCGAAGCCUGUGAGCUAACUUUUAGAGGCAGCAGUCGAAGGUAGAAUCAAUGAUUGGGGUGAAGUCGUAACAAGGUAUC